AUGUCACCGCGAUGUCACCCGCGAUGUCACCCGCGAUGUCACCCGCGAUGUCACCACGAUGUCACCCGCAAUGUCACCCGCAAUGUCACCGUGAUGUCACCGUGAUGUCACCGCGAUGUCAACCGCGAUGUCACCCGCGAUGUCACCCGCGAUGUCACCCGCGAUGUCACCGCGACGUCACCGCGACGUCACCCGCAAUGUCACCACGACGUCACCCGCAAUGUCACCCGCAAUGUCACCGCGACGUCACCACGACGUCACCCGCAAUGUCACCCGCAAUGUCACCCGCAAUGUCACCCGGACGAUGUCACCCAGAUGUCACCCCCAAAGAAGACACUGCCCGGUUGUCAGCCCAGCUGUCGCCUGUUGUUGUCACCCCAAACAUGUCACCCCAAAGACGUCACCCCAAAGAUGUCACCCCAAACAUGUCACCCCAAAGACGUCACCCCAAAGACGUCACCCCAAAGACGUCACCCCAAAGACGUCACCCGGCCAACGCUUACAACGUCACUGGGUUGUCAGCCACCUGUCGCCCCAAAGACGUCACCCACAAUGUCACCAGGUUGUCACCCCAAAGA
This 578-nucleotide long non-coding RNA is filed under the name Numida meleagris (helmeted guineafowl). RNAcentral's name for it is "lncRNA (ENSNMEG00000003018.1)". The record is from RNAcentral. Lineage: Eukaryota; Metazoa; Chordata; Aves; Galliformes; Numididae.